CCCUUAGAUGUUCUGGGCCGCACGCGCGCUACACUGAUGUAUUCAAUGAGUCUAUAGCCUUGGCCGAUAGGCCCGGGUAAUCUUUGAAAUUUCAUCGUGAUGGGGAUAGAUCAUUGCAAUUGUUGGUCUUCAACGAGGAAUUCCCAGUAAGUGCGGGUCAUCAGCUCGCGUUGAUUACGUCCCUGCCCUUUGUACACACCGCCCGUCGCUGCCCGGAACUGAGCCGUUUCGAGAAGACUGAGGAUUGCUGACUUGAGGCCUUCACGGGCUUCUAGUCGGUGAAAAUCAAUUUAAUCGCAGCGGCUUGAACCGGGCAAAAGUCGUAACA
Molecule: ribosomal RNA, 328 nt
Filed under: uncultured eukaryote
Lineage: Eukaryota
Description: partial 18S ribosomal RNA
Rfam family: Eukaryotic small subunit ribosomal RNA
Source: RNAcentral